ACUCAUCGACUGCACGAACAUCAUGAUGAAGAUCAAAACUGAACCGACAGAAAUAAAAACUGAACCGACAGAAAUAAAAACUGAACCAACAGAAGAUGAAUAUGAAGACAAUGAUGAUGGUCAUAAUUUUAUUCUGUCAGGCUAGAGGUGGUUUGAAAUCCUUUUCAAAUUUGGAACAGUCCACUUAUGAGAGGUGUGUUUGGGAAAGUCCAUGUUUGGGGAAUAUAGUUUCUACCACGUCUGACGUCGAGGCCGAUUGUUGUGCCAGCAUGACGUCAUUGCCAUAGAAACAGUGCAGAUGAUCCGGAACACGGCACAACGCUACAGGACGCACAGAUCGGAUCUGAACAGUUGUGAUACACAAUAUGGACAAUCAGUCUGUCAAAUCGGAUAUGCACCUAAAUCGGAUAUGGACUGACAGUGUGAACAAGAUGUGAAGAGUGAAUUAUGUUUGGAUGAAGAAAUAACGUCCUCGACUCUUUCCUGCAUCACCGGUGGAGAGACAUUGAGCUCACAGAGACAUUUAGAGAGAAAACACACAGACCAUGAACACCAUCUGAAGAAACA
Non-coding RNA from Misgurnus anguillicaudatus (oriental weatherfish), 567 nucleotides. Lineage: Eukaryota; Metazoa; Chordata; Actinopteri; Cypriniformes; Cobitidae. The record is from RefSeq and is a predicted model, not a curated record.